CCUACGGGUGGCAGCAGUGGGGAAUAUUGCACAAUGGGGGAAACCCUGAUGCAGCAACGCCGCGUGGGUGAAGGAGCGUUUCGGCGCGUAAAGCCCUGUCAGUGGGGAAGAAGAAAGACGGUACCCGACCAAGAAGCUCCGGCUAACUACGUGCCAGCAGCCGCGGUAAUACGUAGGGAGCAAGCGUUGUCCGGAAUUACUGGGCGUAAAGGGCGCGUAGGUGGGCGCUUAAGUCAGGUGUGAAAACUCCGGGCUCAACCUGUAGACUGCACUUGAAACUGGGUGUCUUGAGGGCAGGAGAGGAAAGUGGAAUUCCUGGUGUAGCGGUGAAAUGCGUAGAUAUUAGGAGGAACACCAGUGGCGAAGGCGACUUUCUGGACUGUACCUGACGCUGAGGCGCGAAAGCGUGGGUAGCGAACGGGAUUAGAUACCCGAGUAGUC
This 441-nucleotide ribosomal RNA is filed under the name uncultured bacterium. Its description in RNAcentral is "partial 16S ribosomal RNA". It matches the Rfam family "Bacterial small subunit ribosomal RNA", at positions 338 to 795 of the family's 1533-position model. The record is from RNAcentral.